AAAGAUUUAUCGCCUUUAGAUGGGCCCGCGUCAGAUUAGCUAGUUGGUGGGGUAAAGGCCUACCAAGGCGACGAUCUGUAGCUGGUCUGAGAGGAUGAUCAGCCACACUGGGACUGAGACACGGCCCAGACUCCUACGGGAGGCAGCAGUGGGGAAUAUUGGACAAUGGGCGAAAGCCUGAUCCAGCCAUGCCGCGUGUGUGAAGAAGGCCUUAUGGUUGUAAAGCACUUUAAGCGAGGAGGAGGCUACUGAGACUAAUACUCUUGGAUAGUGGACGUUACUCGCAGAAUAAGCACCGGCUAACUCUGUGCCAGCAGCCGCGGUAAUACAGAGGGUGCGAGCGUUAAUCGGAUUUACUGGGCGUAAAGCGUGCGUAGGCGGCUUUUUAAGUCGGAUGUGAAAUCCCCGAGCUUAACUUGGGAAUUGCAUUCGAUACUGGGAAGCUAGAGUAUGGGAGAGGAUGGUAGAAUUCCAGGUGUAGCGGUGAAAUGCGUAGAGAUCUGGAGGAAUACCGAUGGCGAAGGCAGCCAUCUGGCCUAAUACUGACGCUGAGGUACGAAAGCAUGGGGAGCAAACAGGAUUAGAUACCCUGGUAGUCCAUGCCGUAAACGAUGUCUACUAGCCGUUGGGGCCUUUGAGGCUUUAGUGGCGCAGCUAACGCGAUAAGUAGACCGCCUGGGGAGUACGGUCGCAAGACUAAAACUCAAA
RNAcentral lists this ribosomal RNA (708 nucleotides) under uncultured bacterium. RNAcentral describes it as "bacterial SSU rRNA". It matches the Rfam family "Bacterial small subunit ribosomal RNA", at positions 202 to 905 of the family's 1533-position model. The record is from RNAcentral.